AUCAGCCUUCACCCUACAGCGGUCUAGCAGAGAGGCAAAGCUAUGCUACUAUGCCAGCGAGACAGAGGAAAGUGGAGUGUGGCCCAGGCUGGCCUCAAACCCACGGUGAUCCUCCCACCUCAGCCUCCAGAAUGCUGGUUAUGGGUGUGUGCCACUACACCCAGUGAGAUUUCUUCAUAGAAGAACACUGCUGGCCUUGAACUCAUUAUGUAGCCCACAUGGCCUCAAACUCAUGGAAAUCCUGCUGCCUCAGCCUUCCGAGUGCUGAUAGUACAGUGCUGGAGGCUGGAAGUUCAAGAUCAAGGUGCAAGUAGGACCAGGUUCCUCUGAGUCCUGGCUUCUUGGGUUGCAGGUGGUCACCUUCCUGCUGCCUGUAUUGGAUCAGACCAGGACCUUGUGCGCUUGUGAGGCAGGAGAUGGAACCACUGAGCCAAAUCCCC
This 440-nucleotide long non-coding RNA is filed under the name Heterocephalus glaber (naked mole-rat). RNAcentral describes it as "lncRNA (ENSHGLG00000036360.1)". Lineage: Eukaryota; Metazoa; Chordata; Mammalia; Rodentia; Bathyergidae. The record is from RNAcentral.